AGUAACGACAGGUUCCUUUGUGAUAACACCAAAUGCAUCCCGAAAGACUGGCUCUGUGAUGGCGACGAUGAUUGUGAGGACAAGACAGACGAACAGGACUGUGAGUGCAGUAACGACGAGUUCCUUUGUGAUAACACCAAAUGCAUCCCGAAAUACUGGCUCUGUGAUGGCGACGAUGAUUGUGAGGACAAGACAGACGAACAGGACUGUGGUGGACUUGCAUUUCAAAGAAGUGAAAUGUGUUUUUCCGCAGGGAACGCAUACAAGUGUAAAAGCGGCGAUAAAAUUUGUGGUGUGAAAGUUUGCGACGGCAGAGGACUGUC
Eriocheir sinensis (Chinese mitten crab) is the source of this 323-nucleotide long non-coding RNA. RefSeq lists it as uncharacterized. The record is from RefSeq and is a predicted model, not a curated record. NCBI's taxonomy places the organism in Eukaryota, Metazoa, Arthropoda, Malacostraca, Decapoda, Varunidae. The transcript has 3 exons.